RNAcentral lists this ribosomal RNA (253 nucleotides) under uncultured bacterium. RNAcentral describes it as "partial 16S ribosomal RNA". It matches the Rfam family "Bacterial small subunit ribosomal RNA", at positions 524 to 776 of the family's 1533-position model. The record is from RNAcentral.
UACAGAGGGUGCGAGCGUUGUUCGGAAUUAUUGGGCGUAAAGGGCGCGUAGGCGGCGCGGUAUGUCAACUGUGAAAUCUCCUGGCUCAACUGGGAGCUUGCAGGCGAAACUGCCGUGCUGGAGUGUGGGAGAGGUGCGUGGAAUUCCUGGUGUAGCGGUGAAAUGCGUAGAUAUCAGGAGGAACACCUGUGGCGAAAGCGGCGCACUGGACCACAACUGACGCUGAGGCGCGAAAGCUAGGGGAGCAAACAGG